GAAAGGAAUAGGAUAGCCGCGGGGACGCGGCGGGCUGUCGCCAGCAGGUGGCACCGCCACUCGUCUCCCGGCAGAGCCCCGGCGGAACCAGCCACAACAAACUGCAUUUAUUUAUUUUUUUUUUUUUUGUUAGUAGCAUAUUUUUAAUUAUUAUUAUUUUUUUUCCUAAAAGGUGAGCUCGGGGCUGCGAAGCGCCCGAUGGGGAAGCUUAUAAAAUGUGAUGCUCUCUGGAAGGUCUGUUCACGCAAAACUAAGCGAGGAGUGCCGCCCCAUUUACUCCAGGGAAAUACAGGGCUGUGAGUGCUCCGCACUGCCGUCCCCCUGAGCCGAGGGGCUGAGGCUGCUCGGAGCCCCGGAGGGGCUGCUGAGCCCCACUGAGACGGCCCUCCUGCCGCACCUCGCCGUGGCCGGGACGUGACGAGGACCAGGCGGCCGCUGCAGCCCCGCUGCUGCACACCGCGGUGGGCACCGUGGGAGAGGGGGCCGUGCCUCCAUGAGGCAGUGUGAGUCAGCAAAAUAGGGCUGACUGAGCACUUAUCUGGGCAUCGACCGAGCAUCGGUGACUUAGCGUUUACUAGGCGGAGCUACCGACGUGCCUAAAGCGAGCAGCCUUAAGAUACUCCCAGAAAGUGAAUGCCCCAGCCCUGCCCUGGGCGAGGCUCUGCCCCUGCCGAGGACAUCUGAGGGACUGCAGGAGGAAUCAUCCCAAGAGGUCCCGCUGGCCCAUGGCUCAGCUUUCUGUGUAAAGUAUGCCCCGAUGAUGAAGAAGAAGAAAACCAGCUCAGCCCAGAUUAUUCCAUUAAACACAGCCUCUGGUCACUGGAGAGAAGCGGAAGCACAAAGUCGGGUUCACAGAUCUGUUGCACACAGAGACUGUAUUGAGAGUCGUGUUAAAAAUAUCUGGGUGACUGUAAGCCUGAAACCAUUUUGUGUCUAAAACUGAUUUCCAUUUCCUUUUCCUUUCUUUUGUUUUUGUUCCACUUGUUAUAAAAAGGCCUUUCCACAACCCUCCACCAUGGUGCUCCGCACUCAGCUCUUCUAAGGUGCUUAUAAAAAAUGCUUUUAAUGGUACAACGCGUAGACAUCUUUCAACGUGUCUCUCAAAUCGAGGGCACUUUUUCGUCCAUCCUGGGCUGAUGGAUCACUGGGAAGAGUGCUGUGACAUGGAGUGUCCCCGCUCCAGCUCAGCACAGGUUUUGCUUUGUGGCUCCCUGGCAAGUGGGGGAGGCUGCGCUCCUGCUGCUCCCAAUGGGCUGGGGGCUGAUUUCAGGCACAGGUGAUAUGCUUGGAUCUAUUUGGGAGUGGACACAUGCUGAAUAGCUGAAAUGCAGUGAGUGUAGCAGUGUAGUAUAACCUAUAGUGAAUGCAAAGAGAGCACUGCAAAACAAAGAUGGUAUACAGGCCAUUUGCCUGGGAGCUGCUAGUAUUUGAAAUCAUCACGCUAUCAGUUCAACCCAUCCCUCCAAGUUGACAGUUGUAUUUUAGCACGGUGCAUUCCUCGAAAUGAAUAUAAUAAUCAGCAAGCUCUUACCAAAUUUCCCUAAUUAGCUUUUGGAUGUGAUUUCUCACUGCAAAACUUUGAGACGCCGUAUGCAGGGCAUAGGUAGAUCUUCUCCAGCAUGAUGAUGGCCCUUUGUGUGGCAUGACAGCUAACUCUCUAAUUAAUCUUCGAAAUGUCAGAGCUGCUGGAAGUAAUUGGGCUUGACAGUUCAAGGGCUAAUUAACUUCAAACCCUGCAUUUUCUCUCACUUCCUCCACCAUUCUAGGUCAAUUAUUUACUUUCUUUCUACAUGAUUUUUAGUGUUCAGGGGUGUUUCCAUGCCUGCUUUGCUGGGCAUUUAAGGCCAAGACCAAGGGCAUCGUGCUGGCUGGGCUGCACUGUGUGAGUUCUCCUGGGGCAUUCUGAUUCUGUGGGGCUGCAGGCAGAGAAGGAGCACCAGGAGGCAGCAGCAGUAUCCUGGGAGCAGGGGCUGCUCCAAGGUGGGCAGCCUAUGGGGCAGAGCCAACGUCAUUAAUCACUACCGCCAUCCCAGUGAGGCAGCAGGGAGCUGCUCGGUGUUUCCUGCUCCAGCUCUCCCGGGGCUGCCAUCCCAUUUGUCUUCCCCUCUCUGCAGGCUGGAGUGACCCUCGGCAGACAGAAGAUGAAGGGUUUUUGCAGCAGAGGAUCCAAGCCCCAUCCCCUGCUGCCUGUCCCUGUGCUGAGUGACCUUGUGGCUAUUACUAGAAAUGCAUGAAUAGCCUUUUCUCUUGCUGAUGGGCUCAGCAGCCGGUCAUGCAGCAGUAUAGAGCGGGUCUUUGUGAGAGCAGCGUGCACACGGGUUCCUCAGCUGCCUCCUGCAUCUCGUUGCUUUCUGCAUCCAGUUCACAAGGGCAGAAGGCAAGGAGCUGUGUGGGAGGCACCCCUAUAGGUGCGGGCUGCCCUCAGGCUCUCCCCUCUAGCCUGGCUCAUACCUGAGCAGGGGGAUCAUCUGCUCCGGAAAGACGGCUGCAAAAGCUGUCUGAGAUUUCUUUGCCACUUUCAUCUCCUCAUUUCCU
Molecule: long non-coding RNA, 2535 nt
Organism: Gallus gallus (chicken)
Lineage: Eukaryota; Metazoa; Chordata; Aves; Galliformes; Phasianidae
Exons: 2
Source: RefSeq, a predicted model, not a curated record